GCGGAGGUUGUGUGGCUUGGAGGAGAUCGAGGAACCUGGAGGGGUUACACACACAGUUACACACCUGACAGGGGUCUCACACACACUUAAACACACUGCUGUUGCAGAAGACCAGAUCCUGACAGGCUGGAGGAUGAAGACACUGAUUUGGAAGGCUACAAGACCAAAAACAAUGCAAACAAAUAAUAAUGGCACAGCAGUUUAUAAUCAAUUGGUUUUAUGUUGGUAACUUAGGUAAUGUGUACACUCCUGGAACCUGUUAUUACAUGCGCCAGCAUGAGGCCGCUGAAUGUGCUGAUGUCACUAGAUGAGGCGGCCGGACGGGUGUGUGGUCCUGCUUCCAGGGGAUGCCAAUUUCACAAGGUGCUCAGAACCGGGCUGGAGUCUUUGGCUGGAACAGAAACUGAGGCAGGUAGAUGGAAGCUGGGAGGCUGGAUAUAAUUCCUACUCAUGAGCUAGAACAGGAAUGCAGAGAGAGUGGAACACACUAGUAUAUAAAUGAGCUGGUCAAGAUGGAACUGCUGGCAACUAAAGGCACAGAUGGGGCAGUCAGAACAGGAAUACUGGAGUCACUGGAAUGGAACCGGAAUACUGGAGUUACCGGAAUGGAAACGGAAUACUAGUGUCACCUGGUUUGAACCGGAAUACUGGAGUCACCGGGAUUGAACUAGAAUACUGGAGUCACUGGGACUGAACCAGAGUACUGAAGCCAGUAGUGCAAUAAGGUGUACACUGCAAGUUAUGUAUGCCAGAAUAGCUUCUAUAUGCCCUUAGCAGGAAGGCAACUGGUAGUGUGCAUCAUGUGACUGAGUUACUGCUUGGACAGUCACCUGAUGUGAACCAACAUUGAUGCUGGUGAAAAUGUUGCACGUGGAAGCAAGCGGGUAUGGUGGGGACUACAGGGGGAAGUAACCGUCACAGCAGUUGGGAAGCCACGCAAAGUCACAGGAGGUCUGCCACAGAGCUGGAGCAUGGAGCGGUGAACUAGAUAAGUGACCUGCUGGCUGCACUAAAUGGAACGAUUUGUAACAAGUAUGUUUAAAUCAUUUCAUGAAAAAUACACCUAAAUUGGUAUAGCUUUAAUUUCCAUACUUUGCACUGGAUUUUAACUUUUUGUCCGAUGCAUGUGCUCCAGAAUGCUGUUUGCACGGCAUUCUGGGGCACAGAAUUGGACCAGCAGCUAAAAAUCUAGUCUGUACUACAUUUAGCUGUCUGAAAGUGGACAAUUACGAAAUGUUGCACAAAGGAAAAAGCUGGUACAAUAAAAGUGUUCACACACCUC
Pseudophryne corroboree (corroboree frog) is the source of this 1282-nucleotide long non-coding RNA. RefSeq lists it as uncharacterized. NCBI's taxonomy places the organism in Eukaryota, Metazoa, Chordata, Amphibia, Anura, Myobatrachidae. The record is from RefSeq and is a predicted model, not a curated record. The transcript has 4 exons.